Molecule: ribosomal RNA, 410 nt
Filed under: uncultured bacterium
Lineage: Bacteria
Description: bacterial SSU rRNA
Rfam family: Bacterial small subunit ribosomal RNA
Source: RNAcentral
AAUGGGCGCAAGCCUGAUCCAGCCAUGCCGCGUGAGUGAAGAAGGCCUUCGGGUUGUAAAGCUCUUUCGGCCGGAACGAAAUCGACCGGGUUAACACCUCGGUUGGAUGACGGUACCGGAAGAAGAAGCACCGGCUAACUACGUGCCAGCAGCCGCGGUAAUACGUAGGGUGCAGGCGUUAAUCGGAAUUACUGGGCGUAAAGCGUGCGCAGGCGGCUUCCUAAGUCAGAUGUGAAAUCCCCGGGCUUAACCUGGGAACUGCGUUUGAAACUGGGAGGCUAGAGUGCGGCAGAGGGAGGUGGAAUUCCACGUGUAGCAGUGAAAUGCGUAGAUAUGUGGAGGAACACCGAUGGCGAAGGCAGCCUCCUGGGCCAGCACUGACGCUCAUGCACGAAAGCGUGGGGAGCAAA